UACGAAGGUCCCAAGCGUUAUCCGGAUUUAUUGGGUUUAAAGGGUGCGUAGGCGGGCUAUUAAGUCAGUGGUGAAAGCCCCAAGCUUAACUUGGGAACUGCCAUUGAUACUGAUGGUCUUGAGUACAUUUGAGGUGGGCGGAAUGUGUCAUGUAGCGGUGAAAUGCUUAGAUAUGACACAGAACACCGAUUGCGAAGGCAGCUCACUAAACUGUAACUGACGCUGAGGCACGAAAGCGUGGGGAGCAAACAGGAUUAGAUACCUGGUAGUCC
Molecule: ribosomal RNA, 272 nt
Filed under: uncultured prokaryote
Description: partial 16S ribosomal RNA
Rfam family: Bacterial small subunit ribosomal RNA
Source: RNAcentral